GACGAACGCUGGCGGCGUGCCUAAUACAUGCAAGUAGAACGCUGAAGAGAGGAGCUUGCUCUUCUUGGAUGAGUUGCGAACGGGUGAGUAACGCGUAGGUAACCUGCCUUGUAGCGGGGGAUAACUAUUGGAAACGAUAGCUAAUACCGCAUAACAAUGGAUGACCCAUGUCAUUUAUUUGAAAGGGGCAAAUGCUCCACUACAAGAUGGACCUGCGUUGUAUUAGCUAGUAGGUGAGGUAACGGCUCACCUAGGCGACGAUACAUAGCCGACCUGAGAGGGUGAUCGGCCACACUGGGACUGAGACACGGCCCAGACUCCUGCGGGUGGCAGCAGUAGGGAAUCUUCGGCAAUGGGGGCAACCCUGACCGAGCAACGCCGCGUGAGUGAAGAAGGUUUUCGGAUCGUAAAGCUCUGUUGUAAGUCAAGAACGAGUGUGAGAGUGGAAAGUUCACACUGUGACGGUAGCUUACCAGAAAGGGACGGCUAACUACGUG
Molecule: ribosomal RNA, 497 nt
Filed under: uncultured bacterium
Lineage: Bacteria
Description: partial 16S ribosomal RNA
Rfam family: Bacterial small subunit ribosomal RNA
Source: RNAcentral